Molecule: long non-coding RNA, 327 nt
Organism: Ostrea edulis (European flat oyster)
Lineage: Eukaryota; Metazoa; Mollusca; Bivalvia; Ostreida; Ostreidae
Exons: 3
Source: RefSeq, a predicted model, not a curated record
AGUGUUAUUGACUCGGCUUGCUCGUUGUCACUCGAUAAAUCGUAAACUCUCUGGCACUCUUACGUUAAAGGUCAGGAGUAAUGUAACCUACUAUUCAUCAAACACUGGAAUCAUAGUAGUAACCAGUUACAUGUGGUAGGGUCAAGAAAGAAGGCUUGGAUUUUCACUGAUAAACCUUUGACUGACCCUGCAAAGAGUAUUGGACGGUGAUGCCUCGCAGAAGAAUCCGCCGUCAGCAAUUGAUCUGUGGCAUACUAAUUUUUUGUAUAGCUCAGAUGAUUGACACAAAAUGGAAUUUCCUCAACCUAAGCAAGUAUAUCUCUAAGG